AUGAACCGGCGAGUUACGAUCUGAUGCAAGGUUAAGCAGAAAAUGUGGAGCCGUAGCGAAAGCGAGUCUGAAUAGGGCGAAUGAGUAUUUGGUCGUAGACCCGAAACCAGGUGAUCUACCCUUGGUCAGGUUGAAGUUCAGGUAACACUGAAUGGAGGACCGAACCGACUUACGUUGAAAAGUGAGCGGAUGAACUGAGGGUAGCGGAGAAAUUCCAAUCGAACUUGGAGAUAGCUGGUUCUCUCCGAAAUAGCUUUAGGGCUAGCCUCAAGUGAUGAUUAUUGGAGGUAGAGCACUGUUUGGACGAGGGGCCCCUCUCGGGUUACCGAAUUCAGACAAACUCCGAAUGCCAAAUAAUUUAACUUGGGAGUCAGAAUGUGGGUGAUAAGGUCCAUAUUCGAAAGGGAAACAGCCCAGACCACCAGCUAAGGUCCCAAAAUAUAUGUUAAGUGGAAAAGGAUGUGGCGUUGCCCAGACAACUAGGAUGUUGGCUUAGAAGCAGCCAUCAUUUAAAGAGUGCGUAAUAGCUCACUAGUCGAGUGACACUGCGCCGAAAAUGUACCGGGGCUAAACAUAUUACCGAAGCUGUGGAUUGUCCUUUGGACAAUGGUAGGAGAGCGUUCUAAGGGCGUUGAAGCAUGAUCGCAAGGACAUGUGGAGCGCUUAGAAGUGAGAAUGCCGGUGUGAGUAGCGAAAGACGGGUGAGAAUCCCGUCCACCGAUUGACUAAGGUUUCCAGAGGAAGGCUCGUCCGCUCUGGGUUAGUCGGGUCCUAAGCUGAGGCCGACAGGCGUAGGCGAUGGAUAACAGGUUGAUAUUCCUGUACCACCAUUAUUCGUUUUAAGCGAUGGGGGGACGCAGUAGGAUAGGCGAAGCGUGCUGUUGGAGUGCACGUCCAAGCAGUGAGAUUGAGUGUUAGGCAAAUCCGGCACUCUUAAGAUUGAGCUGUGAUGGGGAGAGGAACUUGUUCCUCGAGUCGUUGAUUUCACACUGCCGAGAAAAGCCUCUAGCUAGAAUAACGGUGCCCGUACCGCAAACCGACACAGGUAGUCAAGAUGAGAAUUCUAAGGUGAGCGAGCGAACUCUCGUUAAGGAACUCGGCAAAAUGACCCCGUAACUUCGGGAGAAGGGGUGCUCUUUGAGGUUCACGCUUCGAAGAGCCGCAGUGAAUAGGCCCAAGCGACUGUUUAUCAAAAACACAGGUCUCUGCUAAACCGUAAGGUGACGUAUAGGGGCUGACGCCUGCCCGGUGCUGGAAGGUUAAGAGGAGUGGUUAGCGCAAGCGAAGCUACGAAUCGAAGCCCCAGUAAACGGCGGCCGUAACUAUAACGGUCCUAAGGUAGCGAAAUUCCUUGUCGGGUAAGUUCCGACCCGCACGAAAGGCGUAACGAUUUGGGCACUGUCUCAACGAGAGACUCGGUGAAAUCAUAGUACCGGUGAAGAUGCCGGUUACCCGCGACAGGACGGAAAGACCCCGUGGAGCUUUACUGUAGCCUGAUAUUGAAAUUCGGUACAGUUUGUACAGGAUAGGUAGGAGCCUUAGAAGCGUGAGCGCUAGCUUACGUGGAGGCAUUGGUGGGAUACUACCCUAAUUGUAUUGGAUUUCUAACCCGCAGCACUUAUCGUGCUGGGAGACAGUGUCAGGCGGGCAGUUUGACUGGGGCGGUCGCCUCCUAAAGAGUAACGGAGGCGCUCAAAGGUUCCCUCAGAAUGGUUGGAAAUCAUUCAUAGAGUGUAAAGGCAUAAGGGAGCUUGACUGCGAGACCUACAAGUCGAGCAGGGUCGAAAGACGGACUUAGUGAUCCGGUGGUUCCGCAUGGAAGGGCCAUCGCUCAACGGAUAAAAGCUACCCCGGGGAUAACAGGCUUAUCUCCCCCAAGAGUUCACAUCGACGGGGAGGUUUGGCACCUCGAUGUCGGCUCAUCGCAUCCUGGGGCUGUAGUCGGUCCCAAGGGUUGGGCUGUUCGCCCAUUAAAGCGGUACGCGAGCUGGGUUCAGAACGUCGUGAGACAGUUCGGUCCCUAUCCGUCGUGGGCGUAGGAAAUUUGAGAGGAGCUGUCCUUAGUACGAGAGGACCGGGAUGGACAUACCUCUGGUGUACCAGUUGUCGUGCCAACGGCAUAGCUGGGUAGCUAUGUAUGGACGGGAUAAGUGCUGAAAGCAUCUAAGCAUGAAGCCCCCCUCGAGAUGAGAUUUCCCAACUUCGGUUAUAAG
Molecule: ribosomal RNA, 2213 nt
Filed under: Staphylococcus pseudintermedius
Lineage: Bacteria; Bacillati; Bacillota; Bacilli; Caryophanales; Staphylococcaceae
Description: partial 23S ribosomal RNA
Rfam family: Bacterial large subunit ribosomal RNA
Source: RNAcentral